UGGAGCCACAAUUUGAGAAUGACGUAUCUGAGUUAGAGUCUCCUGGAAUUGAGGUUUAUGUAACUUUUUCAGACGGUUGUUCCCCACCCUGCUCCUCUCAAUCACUCCCCAGCUGGAAAAUGGAGCCCAAAACUGGCAUCAUACAGGCAGUGAAGCUCUCAGAAAAGAAAAAAAAAAUAGUUUUGGAGUAGUCAUUCUACUUCCAAAGAGAGGAGUUUAUCAACUACUACAUUUAUGGGAAUCAGGAGAGGAAGAGAGAAUUUGAAUGGCAACCCGAAGGAACAUGAUGUUCUAAUUUCAAAACUGG
Molecule: long non-coding RNA, 307 nt
Filed under: Homo sapiens (human)
Lineage: Eukaryota; Metazoa; Chordata; Mammalia; Primates; Hominidae
Description: HSALNT0313730
Source: RNAcentral